This 201-nucleotide ribosomal RNA is filed under the name Vairimorpha ceranae. RNAcentral's name for it is "Nosema ceranae partial small subunit ribosomal RNA". Lineage: Eukaryota; Fungi; Microsporidia; Nosematidae. The record is from RNAcentral.
GAAAGUAGGGCAGCUAUGCUCUUGGGAUGUGAGAUCCAGUGCCGGUUGGGAGAAGCCGUUACCCUUCGGGGAAUCUUCAAAAAACACACAACCCGGGGAGGGUUUGGCAAGCUGCUGACGCCGUAGCAUUUGCGUUGGAUCAGGUCAGAUCCUUAAACUGACGAUUGAGUCAGGCGUGUUAUCCCUAGAACCCUGCUCAAC